ACCCGCCUCGCAGGCACCUUAAACCAAUGGGGGAAAUCCUGUCACCGAGCCACUGAAACGGGGAAAAGCCUGCCGUUUCUUUCCCGUUUUCCUUCAUCAUCCUCAAUGCUGAAGAGAUGCUGGUUGCCUGGAAAGGGACUGCUUUUCUUUCAAUGUGCUGUUGAAAGAUUGAUUCAGAUGGACACCUCAAAGUAGCCGGGAUUGCAUUCUGUAAACCGGUUUUCAUAAAUAUACAGUAGAGUCUCACUUAUCCAACACUCGCUUAUCCAACGUUCUGGAUUAUCCAACGCAUUUUUGUAGUCAAUGUUUUCAAUAUAUCGUGAUAUUUUGGUGCUGAAUUCAUAAAUGCAGUAAUUACUACAUAGCAUUACUGCAUAUUGAACUACUUUUUCUGCCAAAUUUGUUGUCUAACAUGAUGGUUUGGUGCUUCAUUUGUAAAAUCAUAACCUAAUUUGAUGUUUAAUAGGCUUUUCCUUAAUGCCUCCUUAUUAUCCAACAUAUUCGCUUAUCCACCAUUCUGCCGGCCCGUUUAUGUUGGAUACGUGAGACUCUACUGUAUGUCUAUUUAGUGUGUUGUCGAAGGCUUCCUUGGCCGAAAUCACUGGGUUGUUGUGCAUAUUCCGGGCUGUAUGGCCAUGUUCCAGAAGAAGCAUUCUCUCCUGACGUUUCGCGCAUAUCUAUGGCAAGCAUCCUCAGGGGUUUGGAAGUACAGUAGAAUCUCACUUAUCCAAGCUAAACGGACCGGCAGAAGCUUGGAUAAGUGAAUAUCUUGGAUAAUAAGGGCGGAUUAAAGAAAAGCCUAUUAAACAUCAAAUUAGGUUAUGAUUUUACAAAUUAAGCACCAAAACAUCAUGUUUUACAACAAAUUUGACAGAAAAUGUAGUUCAAUAGGCAGUGUUGUUAUGUUGCAAUUACUGUAUUUACGAAUUUAGCACCAAAAUAUCACGAUAUAUUGAAAACAUUGACUACAAAAAUGGCUUGGAUAAUCCAGAAGCUUGGAUAAGCGAGGCUUGGAUAAGUGAGAAUGUUGGAAAACCAAGCAAGGGAGGUUUAUGUAUCUGUGGAAGGUCAAGGUGGGAGAAAGGACUCUUGUCUGUUGGAGGCAGGUGUGAAUGUUGUAAUUAAUCGUGUAGAUUAGCAUUCAUGGUCUUGCAAGCUUCAUUCCUGCCUGGGGGAAUCCUUUGUUCUGAGGUGUUUGCUGCCCCUGUUUGAAUCAUAUCUGUAUUUCCGCUGAUUUCUGAGUGUUGUCCUUUGUUUGUGUUCAGAUGAUAGAGUCUUUGAAUUCUGGUAGCCAGAUUUUCUCCAUUUUCAUGGUUUUCUCCUUUCUGUUGAAAUUUUCCAUGUUUGUGGAUUUUAAUGGUUUUUCUGUGUAGUCUGACAUGAUAGUUGUUAGAGUGGUCCAGCAUUUCUGUGUUCUCAAAUAAUAUACUGUGUCCAGGUCCAAGAAGAUCCAACCAGUCCAUCCUCCAGGAAAUGAUGCCCAUCUGCUCACAGGACGGAAAGAUACUAGAGGCAAAGAUGAAGUAUUUUGGCCACAUCAUGAGAAGACAGGAGAGUUUGGAAAAGAUCAUGAUGCUGGGGAAAAUGGAAGGAAAAAGGAAGAGAGGCCGACCAAGGGCAAGAUGGAUGGACAGUAUCCUUGAAUUGACUGGUAUGAACUUGAAGCACCUGGGGGCUGCGAUGGAUGACUGGGAGCUCUGGCAUGGACUGGUCCAUGAGGCCACAAAGACUGUGUGAAUGAAGAAGUAGUAGUCCAGUCUCUUACCGCCUUUCUGGAUGGCAUCUGCUCCGCAGCCAGGCCGGGAUGGGAGGAGGAAGGGCCUCAUUCCAGAUGGAUCACUGGGCACCCUGACCAGGGAAGGAGGUGGACGCACGAUGGAGACAGCAGUCCCAGGAAGAGGAUGGAUCUGAAAAGAGAAAGUUAAAGUCUCUUACCGCCUUUCUGGAUGGCAUCUGCUCCGCAGCCAGGCCGGGAUGGGAGGAGGAAGGGCCUCAUUCCAGAUGGAUCACUGGGCACCCUGACCAGGGAAGGAGGUGGACGCACGAUGGAGACAGCAGUCCCAGGAAGAGGAUGGAUCUGAAAAGAGAAAGUUAAAGGUCCAAGAAGAUCCAACCAGUCCAUCCUCCAGGAAAUGAUGCCCAUCUGCUCACAGGAGGGAAAGAUACUAGAGGCAAAGAUGAAGUAUUUUGGCCACAUCAUGAGAAGACAGGAGAGUUUGGAAAAGAUCAUGAUGCUGGGGAAAAUGGAAGGAAAAAGGAAGAGAGGCCGACCAAGGGCAAGAUGGAUGGACAGUAUCCUUGAAUUGACUGGUAUGAACUUGAAGCACCUGGGGGCUGCGAUGGAUGACUGGGAGCUCUGGCAUGGACUGGUCCAUGAGGCCACAAAGACUGUGUGAAUGAAGAAGUAGUAGUCCAGGUUAGUUCCUCAAGUGCUCUGCUAUGGCUGACUUCUCUGGUUGAGUUAGUCUGUUUAUUUGUAUUCAUAUAUACAUAUUGUCAAGAGUCAGACGCCAAUUAGCGAACAAAAAUAGAGUUUAUUCAGCAGAUAAGCCAAAAAGUAAUGUUAACACAGAAAAAACCUUGAAACACUUCACUAUCAGUGCUUCAAGAGCAGUUCAAACAAAAAUAUAAUUCAGCAACACAAGCAGGUAAAAACAAAGCUAAACAAACUUAGUGCAAACUGCACUUUCGGAGUCCAAGCCCUGCCAGCCGGCUCUGUAGUUUUCAAGGGAACAGUUCCCAAAAGAAAACACCAAAUUGGUCAGGAAACAAACAAACAAACUAAGAAUGCAGUAGACUGCUUCCACAAUGUUGAUAAAGCCGAAGGCUCCAAAAGGAUGGUGAAAAGACGUCGUCCGGGAUUCCAAGGUCAGGUCAGGAGAUAACAGCGGUGUCCAAAGAGCAAGCCAGGAGUCAAAAGCCGGUAGUAGUCAUCAAUCACAGGGCGAAGGCAGUAGCAAGGUCAAAUUCCGAUCCAAGGUCUGAAGAGGGUGCAGUCAUCCAAAACAGGUCCACGAUAAGACACAGCGAGAGCCAAGCUAGGUGAUAACAGCAGAUUCAAAUCAUAGUCCAAGUCCAAUCUUCAUGGAAACACAGAGAUCCCAAUGGCGCCUCAGCAACACCUUGCCACACGCAAAGUGCAGUGGCCAAACAUUCCCAUUUUAUUCCCCUUCCUCCUGGGUGACCAAACACUCACACCCAAACACCAGGUGUCCCAAAUCUACUCAGAGUCUGAGCUCCACACAGCUAGAGCUCGUGGAUCUGGAGUACCUAGCAAUUCGUCGGAGUCCCAAUCAUCCUGCUCACACUUAGCCCCAUGAACACUUAAAGAACCAUCCUCCCUUCUUCAAGCAUCCCAAUUGGGAUCAGCUCCUGCAGAAACCCCAGGUUCAGAAGUAUCCAUAGACCCCAAAUCCCCAGACAUCUCCGGUGGCUGUGCCCAUUCAGUGCCCGCUUCCCCAGCCACCACCUGUUCCUCAGCAUCCAUCUCCCCAUCUGAAUCUUCCUCAGAAGAUCCCCCAUAUAGCUCUCUAAGUCGCUUCCUGCACAACUCCUCCAGUGAACCCUCAUCACGAGGGUUUUUUCUUCCUCUUCGAAUUCCAUCCCCAUCAACCAUAAUCCCCGAAGGCGCAGUCACAACACAUAUUGUGCGCCACUUUGUGCUGGUCAUGGACCAGAAUUUGCUUGUUUAAUAUAUAUAUAUAUAUAUAUAUAUAUAUAUAUAUAUAUAUAUAUAGUAAAGGUUUCCCCAUGACAUUAAGUCUAGUCAAAUCCGACUCUGGGGGAUGGUGCUCAUCUCCAUUUCUAAGACAAAGAGCCAGCAUUGUCCAUAGUAGGAAUGGUUUUGCUAUGCUCAAACUUGGUGUUACACAGUGAUCAGCUCAGUUUUAUUUUUGCAGUUUGGGAUCAAACAUUAGAAAUAUAAUACAUAUAUAAUACACACACACACGAAUGUAUUAUACAAAUAUAUGGUUGCACUCUGGUUUUUCCUAUGGCUGCAGUCCUAGAAGGAAAUCGCAGAGCCACGCAGAACGUGGUUCUGUGCAAACACAAACAAAACCAUCUCCAUUGUAGUCUCACAUUUUGUCAGUAUAAUAAAUCCACAUGGUGCUUUGUUGUUCAGGGAAGAAACAAGCUGUGUUUGUUGUUCAGUUGACUUUUGCUCUUUCCCCUGAUUGUUGUGGGGAACAAACCAGAAGUGAUACUUUCUAUUUUGAUAAAUUUCAGCAUGGUGUUUCAACCAGGUUCAGUAAACUAUUACUGGAAAGCCCAAAUUUGAAGCAUGGUGGUAUCCAACUGUUCUGCCUCCAUGCUGAACUAAAUGAACUGGAAGGAACCAUAGCACAAAGGACAGAUUGGAGACUGUAUUUGGUGAAACAAAAUAUUUUAUUAAUAGACAAAAUUGAUCUCUUUUCCUCUUGUUGCCACUAUGAAGUCUCUUGUGAGGAAAUAAAUAUUUAAGUCUAUGCAGUUCUGGAUAGAUAUUGCCACAGAGUAUAAAGUCUUGUUAUGACUAGAUUCUUUGUAUCUUUGAGAUGACUUCAAUGCAAUGUUGACAUGGCUUUCUUUAUUGCCGUAGUCUAUAGCUUUUAAUCUAAUUUGAAUACAGUUCCAACGUGACGUGAAUUUCUGUGAUCCUUUUACUUCCUACACUUCCUUCCAGUGCCUCACCAACUGACAAAAUCUAACUGACAAAAAAUAACUGCCAUUUGAGGCUGGCAAGAGCCAAGGCUAAACUCCACCCCUUUAGAAUCUUAAAGAGGCAGGGCAGCAGGUAAUGUUUUGCCUCCUCGUGGCAUAAGACCAACUGUUCUGAUUUGGAAGGAACCAUCCUACUUACUCACAUAUGUCAGUUGUUUUUAAAGCAUCCCAGGUGUUUUUGCCUACUUUCCCUUUUCAUUUCUGUCCUCAGCUUGCUCCAGUUGGUGCAAACUCAGUUCAAAAUGCCAAAGAAGUUUGCUUUCUAUUAACUCAGCAGAGGGAACAUCUUUUCCCUCCUAGGAGGCUCGGGCAAAAGGAAACUGCUUCUGGGAUGCACCCACACUGUAGAAUUUAAUGCAGUUUGACAGCAGUUUAACUGCUACAAUGCAAUGCUAUGGAAUCAUGGGAAUUAUAGUUUUACAAAGUCUUUAACUUAAUCUUCCAGAGUGCUGGGACCUCUGCAAAUUACAACUCCCAGGUUCAAUAGCACUGGACCAUUAAUCCUUUAUUGUCUUACUAUGUAUCCUUCAAACUAAGUAACAUAAUUUCCGGAAGCUCAGUUUUGUUAAUUUUUCCGCCAAAAUUUAAAUGCUGUAACUACCUCAAUCUGACUGGAGAAAAUAGUAUGCUUGUUUUUAUAAACAGGUUAUAGCAUAGAGAUGAGCCAUCCUUUCAUAUUUAUAUGCAAUGAUGGCAUUCUGAUUCCAUGUUAACUGCUAUUGUAUUAUUACUCAUAACUUUUACAAUUAUUUAGUAUUGGUGUUUUAAUGUUGUUCUGUGUUUUUAAAGAUAUGUAUUUAAAUUGUAUUGUUUUAUUUGUAUAUUUUAAUGCUGUACCCUGCCUCGAGCUCUGAGGACAGGUGUGUAGAAUCCUGUUUUUUGAAAAAAGAUCAGGUGUAUUUUAGAAAUAAUGGAGAACAGCUUGCCUGAGCUCUAGAGAAAUACUACUAGCUAGACAAUUCAAUAACAGGUUAGGAGGAGAGAUACCUCGUAGGUUGAUCUGCUAUAAGGUUGCAGUGUCUGUUGUUUACACACUGCAUCAAUUUGUAGAAUAUAAAUGAGUUUUUCAAUAAUGUCUUAAAAAUGGGAGGCUUUGCUCCAAAAGACAGCUUAUAAAUAAAUGAAGGAGCCAAGAGAGUGUUUAACAGCCAGCUUUUCCACCUGAGGCCGCUUUAAAGACUGCAAGUUAUUGUUAUAGUUUCACAGUUUUGUUUGUAAAUCACUAUGGGGUUGCAGAAAGCAAGGUAUAACAAAUAGUUAAAUUAGAACUAGCUUUCAUUAGUAGUCUUAUAUGAGAGUUAGCAAUAUAGUGAGAAAGAGACAAGACCUGUUUGAUGCACAGCUAGAAAAACCGCUCUGAAAUAAUAAUAAUAAUAAUAAUAAUAAUAAUAAUAAUAAUAAUAAUAAAUAAAACUUUAUGUAUAUACCUCCCUAUCUCCUCAAGAUGACUCAGGGCGGUUUUCAACAUAGCAAAACAUUCAAUUGCCAAAAAGAAAGCAUACAAAAAAUUAAACAUGGUAAAAAUAAUAAACAUAAAACAAGAACAUACAAUUCAAAACAAUCACAAAGAUUAAAAUCCAGUUACAAUAUGCUGUAACAAAACAUGAUGGUAAAAAGAUGAUGCUACCAUGUUGUGGGGUUCAAUGAAUGUAUAAUAGCAUUCAUCUUUUAAAUAAUCUUAUCAUUUUGCAGCUGUUAAAGGAGGAAAAACACAUAUAAAGGAAACUCAAAAACCACCAAAACCAUGCAAAGCAGGUGACAUCUUUAAAACAGACCUAUGAUCAGGAAAAAAUGCGGUUUUCAUGAAGAGUUUGUUCAUUAUCUUAAAUAUGCCUUAAUAAUCUACAAACGGGAACCUGGAGUGGAACAAGUGAUUAAUUUUGUGGCCAAGUUCAUUGCUUCCCUUUAUGAGCCAUUAGAAGAUGAAGAGGAAGAAACAGAAAAUUUGCUUCUGAAUUAUUUGUUCUGCUUUCUGCUUGAGGUACUUUACGAAAAUCUGAUAAUGGAUAGACAUUUUAGUAAUACAGAAGGAGCAACCCUACACCUGAACCUGGAAUUUUCCAAAAUCUACAACUUUUUGCAAGUCAAUUGCCUGUUUCUGCCUUUGAGCCAAUAGCUGUGAAGCACUUGAUCAUUAUUUCACAAGGCAGACUAAAGGUGUUUCUGGAUGGUAUCAGCCAUGCAGCCAAACCGGGAUGGAAGGAGUGAGGGCCUCAUUCAAGCAGAGUCCUUUGGUUCACAGGGCACCCUGACUAGGGGAAAAGGAGGAGUAUGGACGCACAAUGGAAACAGCAGUCCAAGGCAGAAGUCAUGGAGACGUUGUGUGAGCGGCUGAAGAGGGAGAGUUAUUAUAUUUAUGUAUACACUGUUUUAUCUCUCCCAAAGGAGACUCCGAGUGGCUUAACAUAAAAGCAUUUGCAUGCAAUUUAAAAUACACAAAUAUGCAAAUAGAGGCACUCUCCAGCCAGAAAGCCUUUCAGGACCUAAUUGCCUUUUCCUCUCCUAAGUGGAGGUCCCCGUUCCUGCGCCCAAGACGAAUCUGCCUGUACCUGUGGGUAAAGUUAAAGGUUUUCCUCUGACAUCAAGUCUAGUCGUGUCCGACUCUGGUGCUCAUCUCCAUUUCUAAGCCUAAGAGCCAGGGUUGUCCGUAGACAGCUGCUAGGUCGUGUGGCCGGCAUGACUGCAUGGAGCGCUGUUACCUUCCUGCCAGAGGUCCAUUGAUCUACUCACAUUUGCAUGUUUCUGAACUGCUAGGUUGGCAUAAGCUUGGACAAACAGCGGGAGCUCACCCCGCUGCCUGGAUUUGAACCGUCGACUUUUUGGUCAGUAAUUCAUCCGAUCAGUGUUUUAACCUGCUGCACCAUCGGGCGCAUCCCUCCCUCUAUUUUCCAAUACGAACUCACCUUAUUCUUCUAGAUCAUCAAUAACUAGACUUUGUUCUUCACUAAAAGAAACAAAAAAAAUAUGUUAGUACGUAACACCCAAAGACCCCCCUAGCCCAAAAAAAGGCCCAACCCACACCCAAAAAGUGAGAAGAAGUUCCCUCGAUUCCUGGGACUGCUGUCCCCAAAGUGCGUCCUCAUCACUUCCACUGGCCAGAGUGCUCUGUCAAGGAAAGAGAAGAGCAAAGUGAAAUCCUGACCUCCCCUUCCCCUUUGCAGGAAGACAGGGCGCCUGCAUUUCUCUCCUUACCCAGGACUCAUCUGGUGGAAGGGGGCCCUUCCUCCACGCAUCCCAGCCGGGCUGUGGAGCAGAUGCCAUCCAUUGGUGCUGUGGAAGAAAGAGAAGAGAUUUAGUUGAAAUCCUGGUCCCCUCCUCUUCACAGAAGUACAAUCCUCCUGCCUUCCCUCCUUACCCAGGUCUCUAUUUCCGUGAUCUCAUCGGAGGAGGAGGCUUCUAGAUCUUCCGUUGGAGGACUAGAGAAGAAGGAGAGAAAACAGCCAAACAUUAGUAUCAGAACCCUGUGCAGCUAUUUAGAAGGGGAAAAAACCAUCCAGAAGAGAAGGAGGAAGGGCUUACCUUACGGGGUAUAUUUUGAUACACCUCCUCCCCGACAACAUUUCCAACAAUUUAUACAUAAUUUCCUGAUGUUCUGCAAAGGAGAAAGGAGAACAAGGUCAGAGGGAAGGAGGAAGGGCCUCAUUCGAGAUGGAUUCUUCAUCACUGGGCACCCUGACCAGGGGAGGAGGUGGACACACGAUGGAGACAGCAGUCCCAGGAAGAGGAUGGAUCUGAAAAGGGAGAGUUAAAGAUAAAGGUUUCCCCUGACAUUAAGUCUAGUCAUGUCCGAAUCUGUGGGUUAGUGCUCAUCUCCAUUUCGCUCCUUACCCAGGACUCAUCGGGUGGAAUGGGGGCCUUCCUCCUCGCAUCCCAGCCAGCAGAUGCCAUCCAUUGGUGCUGUGGAAGAAAGAGAAGAGACUUAGUUGAAAUCCUGGUCCCCUCCUCUUCACAGAAGUACAAUCCUCCUGCCUUCCCUCCUUACCCAGGUCUCCAUUUCCGUGAUCGCCUCGGAGGAGGAGGCCUCCAGAUCUUGCGUUGGAGGACUAGAGAAGAAGGAGAGAAAUCAGCCGAACAUUAGUAUCAGAACCCUGUGAAGCUAUUUAGAAGGGGAAAAAAACAACCAGAAAAGAAGGAGGAAGGGCUUACCUUAUGGGGUGUAUUUUGAUACACCUCCUCCCCGACAUUAUUUCCAAAAAUUUAUACCUAAUUUCCUGAUGUUCUGCAAAGGAGAAAGGAGAACAAGGUCAGAGGGAAGGAGGAAGGGCCUCAUUUGAGAUGGAUUCUUCAUCACUGGGCACCUUGACCAGGGGAGGAAGUGGACACACGAUGGAGACAGCAGUCCCAGGAAGAGGAUGGAUCUGAAAAGGGAGAGUUAAAGAUAAAGGUUUCCCCUGACAUUAAGUCUAGUCAUGUCCGAAUCUGUGGGUUAGAGCUCAUCUCCAUUUCUAAGCCUCAGAGCCGGCAUUGUCCGUAGAUACCUACUAGGCCAUGUGGCCGGCAUGACUCCAUGGAGCGCUGUUACCUUCCUGCCAGAGCGGUACAUAGUGAUCUACUCACAUUUGCAUGUUUUUGAAUUGUUAGGUUGGCAGAAGCUGGGGCUAACAGCGGGAGCUCACCCCACUGCCUGGAUUCAAACCACUGACCUUCUGGUCGGUACGUUCAGCAGCUCAGUGGUUUGAUCCGCUGUGCCACCAGGUGCACCCCUCCCUCUAUUUUCCCAACUCACCUUAGUCUUCUAGAUCUUCAAUAACUAGACUUUGUUCUUCACUAAAAGAUACAAAAAAAAUGUUAGUACAUAACACCCAAAGACCCCUCCAGCCCAAAAAAAGGCCCAACCCACACCCAAAAAGUGAGAAGAAGUUCCCUCGAUUCCUGGGACUGCUGUCCCCAAAGUGCGUCCUCAUCACUUCCACUGGCCAGAGUGCUCUGUCAAGGAAAGAGAAGAGCAAAGUGAAAUCCUGACCUCCCCUUCCCCUUUGCAGGAAGACAGGGCGCCUGCAUUUCUCUACUUACCCAGGACUCAUCGGGUGGAAUGGGGCCCUUCCUCCUCGCAUCCCGGCCAGCAGAUGCCAUCCAUUGGUGCUGUGGAAGAAAGAGAAGAGACUUAGUUGAAAUCCUGGUCCCCUCCUCUUCACAGAAGUACAAUCCUCCUGCCUUCCCUCCUUACCCAGGUCUCCAUUUCCGUGAUUGCCUCAGAGGAGGAGGCCUCCAGAUCUUGCGUUGGAGGACUAGAGAAGAAGGAGAGAAAUCAGCCGAACAUUAGUAUCAGAACCCUGUGAAGCUAUUUAGAAGGGGAAAAAACCAUCCAGAAGAGAAGGAGGAAGGGCUUACCUUACGGGGUAUAUUUUUAUACACCUCCUCCCCGACAACAUUUCCAACAAUUUAUACAUAAUUUCCUGAUGUUCUGCAAAGGAGAACGGAGAACAAGAUCAGUAGGAAGGAGGAAGGGCCUCAUUCGAGAUGGAUUCUUCAUCACUGGGCACCCUGACCAGGGGAGGAGGUGGACACACGAUGGAGACAGCAGUCCCAGGAAGAGGAUGGAUCUGAAAAGGGAGAGUUAAAGAUAAAGGUUUCCCCUGACAUUAAGACUAGUCAUGUCCGAAUCUGUGGGUUAGAGCUCAUCUCCAUUUCUAAGCCUCAGAGCCGGCAUUGUCCGUAGAUACCUACUAGGCCAUGUGGCCAGCAUGACUCCAUGGAGCGCUGUUACCUUCCUGCCAGAGCGGUACAUAGUGAUCUACUCACAUUUGCAUGUUUUUGAAUUGUUAGGUUGGCAGAAGCUGGGGCUAACAGCGGGAGCUCACCCCACUGCCUGGAUUCAAACCACUGACCUUCUGGUCGGUACGUUCAGCAGCUCAGUGGUUUGAUCCGCUGUGCCACCAGGUGCACCCCUCCCUCUAUUUUCCCAACUCACCUUAGUCUUCUAGAUCUUCAAUAACUAGACUUUGUUCUUCACUAAAAGAAACAAAAAAAAUAUGUUAGUACAUAACACCCAAAGACCCCCCUAGCCCAAAAAAAGGCCCAACCCACACCCAAAAAGUGAGAAGAAGUUCCCUCGAUUCCUGGGACUGCUGUCCCCAAAGUGCGUCCUCAUCACUUCCACUGGCCAGAGUGCUCUGUCAAGGAAAGAGAAGAGCAAAGUGAAAUCCUGACCUCCCCUUCCCCUUUGCAGGAAGACAGGGCGCCUGCAUUUCUCUCCUUACCCAGGACUCAUCGGGUGGAAUGGGGCCCUUCCUCCACGCAUCCCAGCUGGGCUGCGGAGCAGAUGCCAUCCAUUGGUGCUGUGGAAGAAAGAGAAGAGACUUAGUUGAAAUCCUGGUCCCCUCCUCUUCACAGAAGUACAAUCCUCCUGCCUUCCCUCCUUACCCAGGUCUCUAUUUCUGUGAUCUCAUCGGAGGAGGAGGCUUCUAGAUCUUCCGUUGGAGGACUAGAGAAGAAGGAGAGAAAACAGCCAAACAUUAGUAUCAGAACCCUGUGCAGCUAUUUAGAAGGGGAAAAAACCAUCCAGAAGAGAAGGAGGAAGGGCUUGCUUUACGGGGUAUAUUUUGAUACACCUCCUCCCCGACAACAUUUCCAACAAUUUAUACAUAAUUUCCUGAUGUUCUGCAAAGGAGAAAGAACAAGGUGAGAGGGAGGAAGAAGGAGUUGCCUUGAGAGAGGGGCUGUUUUAGGGCCAUUACUUUCCUGUGGUAGAUUCAACCCCAAAAGUCUCCAAAUCUGUAUUUCCAUGGGCCCUUCCUCCCCACUCAGUACUUCUUUAAGAGGGGAGAAGAGCAGCAUCCCUGACUUCCCCUCCUGGUGAUCUAAUACAUGACUUCCCUUUUACUACCUACUCCUCUCAUGACAGCAAGUGAAACAAUUUACACAUAAUUUUCUGAUGUUCUGCAAAGGAGAAAGGAGAACAAGGUCAGAGGGAAGGAGGAAGGGCCUCAUUUCAUAUGGAUUCUUCAUCACUGAGCACCCUGACCAGGGGAGGAGGCGGACGCACGAUGGAGACAGCAGUCCCAAGAAGAGGAUGGAUCUGAAAAGGGAUAGUUAAAGAUAAAGGUUUCCCCUGACAUUAAGUCUAGUCAUGUCCGAAUCUGUAGGUUAGUGCUCAUCUCCAUUUCGCUCCUUACCCAGGACUCCUCAGGUGGAAUGGGGCCCUUCCUCCUCGCAUCCCGGCCAGCAGAUGCCAUCCAUUGGUGCUGUGGAAGAAAGAGAAGAGACUUAGUUGAAAUCCUGGUCCCCUACUCUUCACAGAAGUACAAUCCUUCUGCCUUCCCUCCUUACCCAGGUCUCCAUUUCCGUGAUCGCCUCAGAGGAGGAGGCCUCCAGAUCUUGCGUUGGAGGACUAGAGAAGAAGGAGAGAAAUCAGCCGAACAUUAGUAUCAGAACCCUGUGAAGCUAUUUAGAAGGGGAAAAAAACAACCAGAAAAGAAGGAGGAUGGGCUUACCUUAUGGGGUAUAUUUUGAUACACCUCCUCCCCAACAUCAUUUCCAAAAAUUUAUACCUAAUUUCCUGAUGUUCUGCAAAGGAGAAAGGAGAACAAGGUCAGUGGGAAGGAGGAAGGGCCUCAUUCGAGAUGGAUUCUUCAUCACUGGGCACCCUGACCAGGGGAGGAGGUGGACACACGAUGGAGACAGCAGUCCCAGGAAGAGGAUGGAUCUGAAAAGGGAGAGUUAAAGAUAAAGGUUUCCCCUGACAUUAAGUCUAGUCAUGUCCGAAUCUGUGGAUUAGUGCUCAUCUCCAUUUCGCUCCUUACCCAGGACUCAUCAUGUGGAAUAGGGCCCUUCCUCCUCGCAUCCCGGCCAGCAGAUGCCAUCCAUUGGUGCUGUGGAAGAAAGAGAAGAGACUUAGUUGAAAUCCUGGUCCCCUCCUCUUCACAGAAGUACAAUCCUCCUGACUUCCCUCCUUACCCAGGUCUCCAUUUCCGUGAUCGCCUCAGAGGAGGAGGCCUCCAGAUCUUGCGUUGGAGGACUAGAGAAGAAGGAGAGAAAUCAGCCGAACAUUAGUAUCAGAACCCUGUGAAGCUAUUUAGAAGGGGAAAAAAACAACCAGAAAAGAAGGAGGAAGGGCUUACCUUAUGGGGUAUAUUUUGAUACACCUCCUCCCCAACAUCAUUUCCAAAAAUUUAUACCUAAUUUCCUGAUGUUCUGCAAAGGAGAAAGGAGAACAAGGUCAGUGGGAAGGAGGAAGGGCCUCAUUCGAGAUGGAUUCUUCAUCACCGGGCACCCUGACCAGGGGAGGAGGUGGACACACGAUGGAGACAGCAGUCCCAGGAAGAGGAUGGAUCUGAAAAGGGAGAGUUAAAGAUAAAGGUUUCCCCUGACAUUAAGACUAGUCAUGUCCGAAUCUGUGGGUUAGAGCUCAUCUCCAUUUCUAAGCCUCAGAGCUGGCAUUGUCCGUAGAUACCUACUAGGCCAUGUGGCUGGCAUGACUCCAUGUAGCGCUGUUACUUUCCUGCCAGAGCGGUACAUAUUGAUCUACUCACAUUUGCAUGUUUUUGAAUUGUUAGGUUGGCAGAAGCUGGGGCGAACAGCAGGAGCUCACCCCACUGCCUGGAUUCAAACCACUGACCUUCUGGUCGGUACGUUCAGCAGCUCAGUGGUUUGAUCCGCUGUGCCACCAGGUGCACCCCUCCCUCUAUUUUCCCAACUCACCUUAUUCUUCUAGAUCUUCAAUAACUAGACUUUGUUCUUCACUAAAAGAAACAAAAAAAAUAUGUUAGUACAUAACACCCAAAGACCCCCCCUAGCCCAAAAAAAGGCCCAACCCACACCCAAAAAGUGAGAAGAAGUUCCCUCGAUUCCUGGGACUGCUGUCCCCAAAGUGCGUCCUCAUCACUUCCACUGGCCAGAGUGCUCUGUCAAGGAAAGAGAAGAGCAAAGUGAAAUCCUGACCUCCCCUUCCCCUUUGCAGGAAGACAGGGCGCCUGCAUUUCUCUCCUUACCCAGGACUCAUCGGGUGGAAUGGGGCCCUUCCUCCACGCAUCCCAGCUGGGCUGCGGAGCAGAUGCCAUCCAUUGGUGCUGUGGAAGAAAGAGAAGAGAUUUAGUUGAAAUCCUGGUCCCCUCCUCUUCACAGAAGUACAAUCCUCCUGCCUUCCCUCCUUACCCAGGUCUCCAUUUCCGUGAUCACCUCAGAGGAGGAGACCUCCAGAUCUUGCGUUGGAGGACUAGAGAAGAAGGAGAGAAAUCAGCCGAACAUUAGUAUCAGAACCCUGUGAAGCUAUUUAGAAGGGGAAAAAACCAUCCAGAAGAGAAGGAGGAAGGGCUUACCUUACGGGGUAUAUUUUGAUACACCUCCUCCCCGACAACAUUUCCAACAAUUUAUACAUAAUUUCCUGAUGUUCUGCAAAGGAGAACGGAGAACAAGAUCAGUAGGAAGGAGGAAGGGCCUCAUUCGAGAUGGAUUCUUCAUCACUGGGCACCCUGACCAGGGGAGGAGGUGGACACACGAUGGAGACAGCAGUCCCAGGAAGAGGAUGGAUCUGAAAAGGGAGAGUUAAAGAUAAAGGUUUCCCCUGACAUUAAGACUAGUCAUGUCCGAAUCUGUGGGUUAGAGCUCAUCUCCAUUUCUAAGCCUCAGAGCCGGCAUUGUCCGUAGAUACCUACUAGGCCAUGUGGCCAGCAUGACUCCAUGGAGCGCUGUUACCUUCCUGCCAGAGCGGUACAUAGUGAUCUACUCACAUUUGCAUGUUUUUGAAUUGUUAGGUUGGCAGAAGCUGGGGCUAACAGCGGGAGCUCACCCCACUGCCUGGAUUCAAACCACUGACCUUCUGGUCGGUACGUUCAGCAGCUCAGUGGUUUGAUCCGCUGUGCCACCAGGUGCACCCCUCCCUCUAUUUUCCCAACUCACCUUAGUCUUCUAGAUCUUCAAUAACUAGACUUUGUUCUUCACUAAAAGAAACAAAAAAAAUAUGUUAGUACAUAACACCCAAAGACCCCCCUAGCCCAAAAAAAGGCCCAACCCACACCCAAAAAGUGAGAAGAAGUUCCCUCGAUUCCUGGGACUGCUGUCCCCAAAGUGCGUCCUCAUCACUUCCACUGGCCAGAGUGCUCUGUCAAGGAAAGAGAAGAGCAAAGUGAAAUCCUGACCUCCCCUUCCCCUUUGCAGGAAGACAGGGCGCCUGCAUUUCUCUCCUUACCCAGGACUCAUCGGGUGGAAUGGGGCCCUUCCUCCACGCAUCCCCGCUGGGCUGCGGAGCAGAUGCCAUCCAUUGGUGCUGUGGAAGAAAGAGAAGAGACUUAGUUGAAAUCCUGGUCCCCUCCUCUUCACAGAAGUACAAUCCUCCUGCCUUCCCUCCUUACCCAGGUCUCUAUUUCUGUGAUCUCAUCGGAGGAGGAGGCUUCUAGAUCUUCCGUUGGAGGACUAGAGAAGAAGGAGAGAAAACAGCCAAACAUUAGUAUCAGAACCCUGUGCAGCUAUUUAGAAGGGGAAAAAACCAUCCAGAAGAGAAGGAGGAAGGGCUUGCUUUACGGGGUAUAUUUUGAUACACCUCCUCCCCGACAACAUUUCCAACAAUUUAUACAUAAUUUCCUGAUGUUCUGCAAAGGAGAAAGAACAAGGUGAGAGGGAGGAAGAAGGAGUUGCCUUGAGAGAGGGGCUGUUUUAGGGCCAUUACUUUCCUGUGGUAGAUUCAACCCCAAAAGUCUCCAAAUCUGUAUUUCCAUGGGCCCUUCCUCCCCACUCAGUACUUCUUUAAGAGGGGAGAAGAGCAGCAUCCCUGACUUCCCCUCCUGGUGAUCUAAUACAUGACUUCCCUUUUACUACCUACUCCUCUCAUGACAGCAAGUGAAACAAUUUACACAUAAUUUUCUGAUGUUCUGCAAAGGAGAAAGGAGAACAAGGUCAGAGGGAAGGAGGAAGGGCCUCAUUUCAUAUGGAUUCUUCAUCACUGAGCACCCUGACCAGGGGAGGAGGCGGACGCACGAUGGAGACAGCAGUCCCAAGAAGAGGAUGGAUCUGAAAAGGGAUAGUUAAAGAUAAAGGUUUCCCCUGACAUUAAGUCUAGUCAUGUCCGAAUCUGUAGGUUAGUGCUCAUCUCCAUUUCGCUCCUUACCCAGGACUCCUCAGGUGGAAUGGGGCCCUUCCUCCUCGCAUCCCGGCCAGCAGAUGCCAUCCAUUGGUGCUGUGGAAGAAAGAGAAGAGACUUAGUUGAAAUCCUGGUCCCCUACUCUUCACAGAAGUACAAUCCUCCUGCCUUCCCUCCUUACCCAGGUCUCUAUUUCCGUGAUCUCAUCGGAGGAGGAGGCUUCUAGAUCUUCCGUUGGAGGACUAGAGAAGAAGGAGAGAAAACAGCCAAACAUUAGUAUCAGAACCCUGUGCAGCUAUUUAGAAGGGGAAAAAACCAUCCAGAAGAGAAGGAGGAAGGGCUUACCUUACGGGGUAUAUUUUGAUACACCUCCUCCCCGACAACAUUUCCAACAAUUUAUACAUAAUUUCCUGAUGUUCUGCAAAGGAGAAAGGAGAACAAGGUCAGAGGGAAGGAGGAAGGGCCUCAUUCGAGAUGGAUUCUUCAUCACUGGGCACCCUGACCAGGGGAGGAGGUGGACACACGAUGGAGACAGCAGUCCCAGGAAGAGGAUGGAUCUGAAAAGGGAGAGUUAAAGAUAAAGGUUUCCCCUGACAUUAAGUCUAGUCAUGUCCGAAUCUGUGGGUUAGUGCUCAUCUCCAUUUCGCUCCUUACCCAGGACUCAUCGGGUGGAAUGGGGGCCUUCCUCCUCGCAUCCCAGCCAGCAGAUGCCAUCCAUUGGUGCUGUGGAAGAAAGAGAAGAGACUUAGUUGAAAUCCUGGUCCCCUCCUCUUCACAGAAGUACAAUCCUCCUGCCUUCCCUCCUUACCCAGGUCUCCAUUUCCGUGAUCGCCUCGGAGGAGGAGGCCUCCAGAUCUUGCGUUGGAGGACUAGAGAAGAAGGAGAGAAAUCAGCCGAACAUUAGUAUCAGAACCCUGUGAAGCUAUUUAGAAGGGGAAAAAAACAACCAGAAAAGAAGGAGGAAGGGCUUACCUUAUGGGGUGUAUUUUGAUACACCUCCUCCCCGACAUUAUUUCCAAAAAUUUAUACCUAAUUUCCUGAUGUUCUGCAAAGGAGAAAGGAGAACAAGGUCAGAGGGAAGGAGGAAGGGCCUCAUUUGAGAUGGAUUCUUCAUCACUGGGCACCUUGACCAGGGGAGGAAGUGGACACACGAUGGAGACAGCAGUCCCAGGAAGAGGAUGGAUCUGAAAAGGGAGAGUUAAAGAUAAAGGUUUCCCCUGACAUUAAGUCUAGUCAUGUCCGAAUCUGUGGGUUAGAGCUCAUCUCCAUUUCUAAGCCUCAGAGCCGGCAUUGUCCGUAGAUACCUACUAGGCCAUGUGGCCGGCAUGACUCCAUGGAGCGCUGUUACCUUCCUGCCAGAGCGGUACAUAGUGAUCUACUCACAUUUGCAUGUUUUUGAAUUGUUAGGUUGGCAGAAGCUGGGGCUAACAGCGGGAGCUCACCCCACUGCCUGGAUUCAAACCACUGACCUUCUGGUCGGUACGUUCAGCAGCUCAGUGGUUUGAUCCGCUGUGCCACCAGGUGCACCCCUCCCUCUAUUUUCCCAACUCACCUUAGUCUUCUAGAUCUUCAAUAACUAGACUUUGUUCUUCACUAAAAGAUACAAAAAAAAUGUUAGUACAUAACACCCAAAGACCCCUCCAGCCCAAAAAAAGGCCCAACCCACACCCAAAAAGUGAGAAGAAGUUCCCUCGAUUCCUGGGACUGCUGUCCCCAAAGUGCGUCCUCAUCACUUCCACUGGCCAGAGUGCUCUGUCAAGGAAAGAGAAGAGCAAAGUGAAAUCCUGACCUCCCCUUCCCCUUUGCAGGAAGACAGGGCGCCUGCAUUUCUCUACUUACCCAGGACUCAUCGGGUGGAAUGGGGCCCUUCCUCCUCGCAUCCCGGCCAGCAGAUGCCAUCCAUUGGUGCUGUGGAAGAAAGAGAAGAGACUUAGUUGAAAUCCUGGUCCCCUCCUCUUCACAGAAGUACAAUCCUCCUGCCUUCCCUCCUUACCCAGGUCUCCAUUUCCGUGAUUGCCUCAGAGGAGGAGGCCUCCAGAUCUUGCGUUGGAGGACUAGAGAAGAAGGAGAGAAAUCAGCCGAACAUUAGUAUCAGAACCCUGUGAAGCUAUUUAGAAGGGGAAAAAACCAUCCAGAAGAGAAGGAGGAAGGGCUUACCUUACGGGGUAUAUUUUGAUACACCUCCUCCCCGACAACAUUUCCAACAAUUUAUACAUAAUUUCCUGAUGUUCUGCAAAGGAGAACGGAGAACAAGAUCAGUAGGAAGGAGGAAGGGCCUCAUUCGAGAUGGAUUCUUCAUCACUGGGCACCCUGACCAGGGGAGGAGGUGGACACACGAUGGAGACAGCAGUCCCAGGAAGAGGAUGGAUCUGAAAAGGGAGAGUUAAAGAUAAAGGUUUCCCCUGACAUUAAGACUAGUCAUGUCCGAAUCUGUGGGUUAGAGCUCAUCUCCAUUUCUAAGCCUCAGAGCCGGCAUUGUCCGUAGAUACCUACUAGGCCAUGUGGCCAGCAUGACUCCAUGGAGCGCUGUUACCUUCCUGCCAGAGCGGUACAUAGUGAUCUACUCACAUUUGCAUGUUUUUGAAUUGUUAGGUUGGCAGAAGCUGGGGCUAACAGCGGGAGCUCACCCCACUGCCUGGAUUCAAACCACUGACCUUCUGGUCGGUACGUUCAGCAGCUCAGUGGUUUGAUCCGCUGUGCCACCAGGUGCACCCCUCCCUCUAUUUUCCCAACUCACCUUAGUCUUCUAGAUCUUCAAUAACUAGACUUUGUUCUUCACUAAAAGAAACAAAAAAAAUAUGUUAGUACAUAACACCCAAAGACCCCCCUAGCCCAAAAAAAGGCCCAACCCACACCCAAAAAGUGAGAAGAAGUUCCCUCGAUUCCUGGGACUGCUGUCCCCAAAGUGCGUCCUCAUCACUUCCACUGGCCAGAGUGCUCUGUCAAGGAAAGAGAAGAGCAAAGUGAAAUCCUGACCUCCCCUUCCCCUUUGCAGGAAGACAGGGCGCCUGCAUUUCUCUCCUUACCCAGGACUCAUCGGGUGGAAUGGGGCCCUUCCUCCACGCAUCCCAGCUGGGCUGCGGAGCAGAUGCCAUCCAUUGGUGCUGUGGAAGAAAGAGAAGAGACUUAGUUGAAAUCCUGGUCCCCUCCUCUUCACAGAAGUACAAUCCUCCUGCCUUCCCUCCUUACCCAGGUCUCUAUUUCUGUGAUCUCAUCGGAGGAGGAGGCUUCUAGAUCUUCCGUUGGAGGACUAGAGAAGAAGGAGAGAAAACAGCCAAACAUUAGUAUCAGAACCCUGUGCAGCUAUUUAGAAGGGGAAAAAACCAUCCAGAAGAGAAGGAGGAAGGGCUUGCUUUACGGGGUAUAUUUUGAUACACCUCCUCCCCGACAACAUUUCCAACAAUUUAUACAUAAUUUCCUGAUGUUCUGCAAAGGAGAAAGAACAAGGUGAGAGGGAGGAAGAAGGAGUUGCCUUGAGAGAGGGGCUGUUUUAGGGCCAUUACUUUCCUGUGGUAGAUUCAACCCCAAAAGUCUCCAAAUCUGUAUUUCCAUGGGCCCUUCCUCCCCACUCAGUACUUCUUUAAGAGGGGAGAAGAGCAGCAUCCCUGACUUCCCCUCCUGGUGAUCUAAUACAUGACUUCCCUUUUACUACCUACUCCUCUCAUGACAGCAAGUGAAACAAUUUACACAUAAUUUUCUGAUGUUCUGCAAAGGAGAAAGGAGAACAAGGUCAGAGGGAAGGAGGAAGGGCCUCAUUUCAUAUGGAUUCUUCAUCACUGAGCACCCUGACCAGGGGAGGAGGCGGACGCACGAUGGAGACAGCAGUCCCAAGAAGAGGAUGGAUCUGAAAAGGGAUAGUUAAAGAUAAAGGUUUCCCCUGACAUUAAGUCUAGUCAUGUCCGAAUCUGUAGGUUAGUGCUCAUCUCCAUUUCGCUCCUUACCCAGGACUCCUCAGGUGGAAUGGGGCCCUUCCUCCUCGCAUCCCGGCCAGCAGAUGCCAUCCAUUGGUGCUGUGGAAGAAAGAGAAGAGACUUAGUUGAAAUCCUGGUCCCCUACUCUUCACAGAAGUACAAUCCUUCUGCCUUCCCUCCUUACCCAGGUCUCCAUUUCCGUGAUCGCCUCAGAGGAGGAGGCCUCCAGAUCUUGCGUUGGAGGACUAGAGAAGAAGGAGAGAAAUCAGCCGAACAUUAGUAUCAGAACCCUGUGAAGCUAUUUAGAAGGGGAAAAAAACAACCAGAAAAGAAGGAGGAUGGGCUUACCUUAUGGGGUAUAUUUUGAUACACCUCCUCCCCAACAUCAUUUCCAAAAAUUUAUACCUAAUUUCCUGAUGUUCUGCAAAGGAGAAAGGAGAACAAGGUCAGUGGGAAGGAGGAAGGGCCUCAUUCGAGAUGGAUUCUUCAUCACUGGGCACCCUGACCAGGGGAGGAGGUGGACACACGAUGGAGACAGCAGUCCCAGGAAGAGGAUGGAUCUGAAAAGGGAGAGUUAAAGAUAAAGGUUUCCCCUGACAUUAAGUCUAGUCAUGUCCGAAUCUGUGGAUUAGUGCUCAUCUCCAUUUCGCUCCUUACCCAGGACUCAUCAUGUGGAAUAGGGCCCUUCCUCCUCGCAUCCCGGCCAGCAGAUGCCAUCCAUUGGUGCUGUGGAAGAAAGAGAAGAGACUUAGUUGAAAUCCUGGUCCCCUCCUCUUCACAGAAGUACAAUCCUCCUGACUUCCCUCCUUACCCAGGUCUCCAUUUCCGUGAUCGCCUCAGAGGAGGAGGCCUCCAGAUCUUGCGUUGGAGGACUAGAGAAGAAGGAGAGAAAUCAGCCGAACAUUAGUAUCAGAACCCUGUGAAGCUAUUUAGAAGGGGAAAAAAACAACCAGAAAAGAAGGAGGAAGGGCUUACCUUAUGGGGUAUAUUUUGAUACACCUCCUCCCCAACAUCAUUUCCAAAAAUUUAUACCUAAUUUCCUGAUGUUCUGCAAAGGAGAAAGGAGAACAAGGUCAGUGGGAAGGAGGAAGGGCCUCAUUCGAGAUGGAUUCUUCAUCACCGGGCACCCUGACCAGGGGAGGAGGUGGACACACGAUGGAGACAGCAGUCCCAGGAAGAGGAUGGAUCUGAAAAGGGAGAGUUAAAGAUAAAGGUUUCCCCUGACAUUAAGACUAGUCAUGUCCGAAUCUGUGGGUUAGAGCUCAUCUCCAUUUCUAAGCCUCAGAGCUGGCAUUGUCCGUAGAUACCUACUAGGCCAUGUGGCUGGCAUGACUCCAUGUAGCGCUGUUACUUUCCUGCCAGAGCGGUACAUAUUGAUCUACUCACAUUUGCAUGUUUUUGAAUUGUUAGGUUGGCAGAAGCUGGGGCGAACAGCAGGAGCUCACCCCACUGCCUGGAUUCAAACCACUGACCUUCUGGUCGGUACGUUCAGCAGCUCAGUGGUUUGAUCCGCUGUGCCACCAGGUGCACCCCUCCCUCUAUUUUCCCAACUCACCUUAUUCUUCUAGAUCUUCAAUAACUAGACUUUGUUCUUCACUAAAAGAAACAAAAAAAAUAUGUUAGUACAUAACACCCAAAGACCCCCCCUAGCCCAAAAAAAGGCCCAACCCACACCCAAAAAGUGAGAAGAAGUUCCCUCGAUUCCUGGGACUGCUGUCCCCAAAGUGCGUCCUCAUCACUUCCACUGGCCAGAGUGCUCUGUCAAGGAAAGAGAAGAGCAAAGUGAAAUCCUGACCUCCCCUUCCCCUUUGCAGGAAGACAGGGCGCCUGCAUUUCUCUCCUUACCCAGGACUCAUCGGGUGGAAUGGGGCCCUUCCUCCACGCAUCCCAGCUGGGCUGCGGAGCAGAUGCCAUCCAUUGGUGCUGUGGAAGAAAGAGAAGAGAUUUAGUUGAAAUCCUGGUCCCCUCCUCUUCACAGAAGUACAAUCCUCCUGCCUUCCCUCCUUACCCAGGUCUCCAUUUCCGUGAUCACCUCAGAGGAGGAGACCUCCAGAUCUUGCGUUGGAGGACUAGAGAAGAAGGAGAGAAAUCAGCCGAACAUUAGUAUCAGAACCCUGUGAAGCUAUUUAGAAGGGGAAAAAACCAUCCAGAAGAGAAGGAGGAAGGGCUUACCUUACGGGGUAUAUUUUGAUACACCUCCUCCCCGACAACAUUUCCAACAAUUUAUACAUAAUUUCCUGAUGUUCUGCAAAGGAGAACGGAGAACAAGAUCAGUAGGAAGGAGGAAGGGCCUCAUUCGAGAUGGAUUCUUCAUCACUGGGCACCCUGACCAGGGGAGGAGGUGGACACACGAUGGAGACAGCAGUCCCAGGAAGAGGAUGGAUCUGAAAAGGGAGAGUUAAAGAUAAAGGUUUCCCCUGACAUUAAGACUAGUCAUGUCCGAAUCUGUGGGUUAGAGCUCAUCUCCAUUUCUAAGCCUCAGAGCCGGCAUUGUCCGUAGAUACCUACUAGGCCAUGUGGCCAGCAUGACUCCAUGGAGCGCUGUUACCUUCCUGCCAGAGCGGUACAUAGUGAUCUACUCACAUUUGCAUGUUUUUGAAUUGUUAGGUUGGCAGAAGCUGGGGCUAACAGCGGGAGCUCACCCCACUGCCUGGAUUCAAACCACUGACCUUCUGGUCGGUACGUUCAGCAGCUCAGUGGUUUGAUCCGCUGUGCCACCAGGUGCACCCCUCCCUCUAUUUUCCCAACUCACCUUAGUCUUCUAGAUCUUCAAUAACUAGACUUUGUUCUUCACUAAAAGAAACAAAAAAAAUAUGUUAGUACAUAACACCCAAAGACCCCCCUAGCCCAAAAAAAGGCCCAACCCACACCCAAAAAGUGAGAAGAAGUUCCCUCGAUUCCUGGGACUGCUGUCCCCAAAGUGCGUCCUCAUCACUUCCACUGGCCAGAGUGCUCUGUCAAGGAAAGAGAAGAGCAAAGUGAAAUCCUGACCUCCCCUUCCCCUUUGCAGGAAGACAGGGCGCCUGCAUUUCUCUCCUUACCCAGGACUCAUCGGGUGGAAUGGGGCCCUUCCUCCACGCAUCCCCGCUGGGCUGCGGAGCAGAUGCCAUCCAUUGGUGCUGUGGAAGAAAGAGAAGAGACUUAGUUGAAAUCCUGGUCCCCUCCUCUUCACAGAAGUACAAUCCUCCUGCCUUCCCUCCUUACCCAGGUCUCUAUUUCUGUGAUCUCAUCGGAGGAGGAGGCUUCUAGAUCUUCCGUUGGAGGACUAGAGAAGAAGGAGAGAAAACAGCCAAACAUUAGUAUCAGAACCCUGUGCAGCUAUUUAGAAGGGGAAAAAACCAUCCAGAAGAGAAGGAGGAAGGGCUUGCUUUACGGGGUAUAUUUUGAUACACCUCCUCCCCGACAACAUUUCCAACAAUUUAUACAUAAUUUCCUGAUGUUCUGCAAAGGAGAAAGAACAAGGUGAGAGGGAGGAAGAAGGAGUUGCCUUGAGAGAGGGGCUGUUUUAGGGCCAUUACUUUCCUGUGGUAGAUUCAACCCCAAAAGUCUCCAAAUCUGUAUUUCCAUGGGCCCUUCCUCCCCACUCAGUACUUCUUUAAGAGGGGAGAAGAGCAGCAUCCCUGACUUCCCCUCCUGGUGAUCUAAUACAUGACUUCCCUUUUACUACCUACUCCUCUCAUGACAGCAAGUGAAACAAUUUACACAUAAUUUUCUGAUGUUCUGCAAAGGAGAAAGGAGAACAAGGUCAGAGGGAAGGAGGAAGGGCCUCAUUUCAUAUGGAUUCUUCAUCACUGAGCACCCUGACCAGGGGAGGAGGCGGACGCACGAUGGAGACAGCAGUCCCAAGAAGAGGAUGGAUCUGAAAAGGGAUAGUUAAAGAUAAAGGUUUCCCCUGACAUUAAGUCUAGUCAUGUCCGAAUCUGUAGGUUAGUGCUCAUCUCCAUUUCGCUCCUUACCCAGGACUCCUCAGGUGGAAUGGGGCCCUUCCUCCUCGCAUCCCGGCCAGCAGAUGCCAUCCAUUGGUGCUGUGGAAGAAAGAGAAGAGACUUAGUUGAAAUCCUGGUCCCCUACUCUUCACAGAAGUACAAUCCUCCUGCCUUCCCUCCUUACCCAGGUCUCUAUUUCCGUGAUCUCAUCGGAGGAGGAGGCUUCUAGAUCUUCCGUUGGAGGACUAGAGAAGAAGGAGAGAAAACAGCCAAACAUUAGUAUCAGAACCCUGUGCAGCUAUUUAGAAGGGGAAAAAACCAUCCAGAAGAGAAGGAGGAAGGGCUUACCUUACGGGGUAUAUUUUGAUACACCUCCUCCCCGACAACAUUUCCAACAAUUUAUACAUAAUUUCCUGAUGUUCUGCAAAGGAGAAAGGAGAACAAGGUCAGAGGGAAGGAGGAAGGGCCUCAUUCGAGAUGGAUUCUUCAUCACUGGGCACCCUGACCAGGGGAGGAGGUGGACACACGAUGGAGACAGCAGUCCCAGGAAGAGGAUGGAUCUGAAAAGGGAGAGUUAAAGAUAAAGGUUUCCCCUGACAUUAAGUCUAGUCAUGUCCGAAUCUGUGGGUUAGUGCUCAUCUCCAUUUCGCUCCUUACCCAGGACUCAUCGGGUGGAAUGGGGGCCUUCCUCCUCGCAUCCCAGCCAGCAGAUGCCAUCCAUUGGUGCUGUGGAAGAAAGAGAAGAGACUUAGUUGAAAUCCUGGUCCCCUCCUCUUCACAGAAGUACAAUCCUCCUGCCUUCCCUCCUUACCCAGGUCUCCAUUUCCGUGAUCGCCUCGGAGGAGGAGGCCUCCAGAUCUUGCGUUGGAGGACUAGAGAAGAAGGAGAGAAAUCAGCCGAACAUUAGUAUCAGAACCCUGUGAAGCUAUUUAGAAGGGGAAAAAAACAACCAGAAAAGAAGGAGGAAGGGCUUACCUUAUGGGGUGUAUUUUGAUACACCUCCUCCCCGACAUUAUUUCCAAAAAUUUAUACCUAAUUUCCUGAUGUUCUGCAAAGGAGAAAGGAGAACAAGGUCAGAGGGAAGGAGGAAGGGCCUCAUUUGAGAUGGAUUCUUCAUCACUGGGCACCUUGACCAGGGGAGGAAGUGGACACACGAUGGAGACAGCAGUCCCAGGAAGAGGAUGGAUCUGAAAAGGGAGAGUUAAAGAUAAAGGUUUCCCCUGACAUUAAGUCUAGUCAUGUCCGAAUCUGUGGGUUAGAGCUCAUCUCCAUUUCUAAGCCUCAGAGCCGGCAUUGUCCGUAGAUACCUACUAGGCCAUGUGGCCGGCAUGACUCCAUGGAGCGCUGUUACCUUCCUGCCAGAGCGGUACAUAGUGAUCUACUCACAUUUGCAUGUUUUUGAAUUGUUAGGUUGGCAGAAGCUGGGGCUAACAGCGGGAGCUCACCCCACUGCCUGGAUUCAAACCACUGACCUUCUGGUCGGUACGUUCAGCAGCUCAGUGGUUUGAUCCGCUGUGCCACCAGGUGCACCCCUCCCUCUAUUUUCCCAACUCACCUUAGUCUUCUAGAUCUUCAAUAACUAGACUUUGUUCUUCACUAAAAGAUACAAAAAAAAUGUUAGUACAUAACACCCAAAGACCCCUCCAGCCCAAAAAAAGGCCCAACCCACACCCAAAAAGUGAGAAGAAGUUCCCUCGAUUCCUGGGACUGCUGUCCCCAAAGUGCGUCCUCAUCACUUCCACUGGCCAGAGUGCUCUGUCAAGGAAAGAGAAGAGCAAAGUGAAAUCCUGACCUCCCCUUCCCCUUUGCAGGAAGACAGGGCGCCUGCAUUUCUCUACUUACCCAGGACUCAUCGGGUGGAAUGGGGCCCUUCCUCCUCGCAUCCCGGCCAGCAGAUGCCAUCCAUUGGUGCUGUGGAAGAAAGAGAAGAGACUUAGUUGAAAUCCUGGUCCCCUCCUCUUCACAGAAGUACAAUCCUCCUGCCUUCCCUCCUUACCCAGGUCUCCAUUUCCGUGAUUGCCUCAGAGGAGGAGGCCUCCAGAUCUUGCGUUGGAGGACUAGAGAAGAAGGAGAGAAAUCAGCCGAACAUUAGUAUCAGAACCCUGUGAAGCUAUUUAGAAGGGGAAAAAACCAUCCAGAAGAGAAGGAGGAAGGGCUUACCUUACGGGGUAUAUUUUGAUACACCUCCUCCCCGACAACAUUUCCAACAAUUUAUACAUAAUUUCCUGAUGUUCUGCAAAGGAGAACGGAGAACAAGAUCAGUAGGAAGGAGGAAGGGCCUCAUUCGAGAUGGAUUCUUCAUCACUGGGCACCCUGACCAGGGGAGGAGGUGGACACACGAUGGAGACAGCAGUCCCAGGAAGAGGAUGGAUCUGAAAAGGGAGAGUUAAAGAUAAAGGUUUCCCCUGACAUUAAGACUAGUCAUGUCCGAAUCUGUGGGUUAGAGCUCAUCUCCAUUUCUAAGCCUCAGAGCCGGCAUUGUCCGUAGAUACCUACUAGGCCAUGUGGCCAGCAUGACUCCAUGGAGCGCUGUUACCUUCCUGCCAGAGCGGUACAUAGUGAUCUACUCACAUUUGCAUGUUUUUGAAUUGUUAGGUUGGCAGAAGCUGGGGCUAACAGCGGGAGCUCACCCCACUGCCUGGAUUCAAACCACUGACCUUCUGGUCGGUACGUUCAGCAGCUCAGUGGUUUGAUCCGCUGUGCCACCAGGUGCACCCCUCCCUCUAUUUUCCCAACUCACCUUAGUCUUCUAGAUCUUCAAUAACUAGACUUUGUUCUUCACUAAAAGAAACAAAAAAAAUAUGUUAGUACAUAACACCCAAAGACCCCCCUAGCCCAAAAAAAGGCCCAACCCACACCCAAAAAGUGAGAAGAAGUUCCCUCGAUUCCUGGGACUGCUGUCCCCAAAGUGCGUCCUCAUCACUUCCACUGGCCAGAGUGCUCUGUCAAGGAAAGAGAAGAGCAAAGUGAAAUCCUGACCUCCCCUUCCCCUUUGCAGGAAGACAGGGCGCCUGCAUUUCUCUCCUUACCCAGGACUCAUCGGGUGGAAUGGGGCCCUUCCUCCACGCAUCCCCGCUGGGCUGCGGAGCAGAUGCCAUCCAUUGGUGCUGUGGAAGAAAGAGAAGAGACUUAGUUGAAAUCCUGGUCCCCUCCUCUUCACAGAAGUACAAUCCUCCUGCCUUCCCUCCUUACCCAGGUCUCUAUUUCCGUGAUCUCAUCGGAGGAGGAGGCUUCUAGAUCUUCCGUUGGAGGACUAGAGAAGAAGGAGAGAAAACAGCCAAACAUUAGUAUCAGAACCCUGUGCAGCUAUUUAGAAGGGGAAAAAACCAUCCAGAAGAGAAGGAGGAAGGGCUUACCUUACGGGGUAUAUUUUGAUACACCUCCUCCCCGACAACAUUUCCAACAAUUUAUACAUAAUUUCCUGAUGUUCUGCAAAGGAGAAAGGAGAACAAGGUCAGAGGGAAGGAGGAAGGGCCUCAUUCGAGAUGGAUUCUUCAUCACUGGGCACCCUGACCAGGGGAGGAGGUGGACACACGAUGGAGACAGCAGUCCCAGGAAGAGGAUGGAUCUGAAAAGGGAGAGUUAAAGAUAAAGGUUUCCCCUGACAUUAAGUCUAGUCAUGUCCGAAUCUGUGGGUUAGUGCUCAUCUCCAUUUCGCUCCUUACCCAGGACUCAUCGGGUGGAAUGGGGGCCUUCCUCCUCGCAUCCCAGCCAGCAGAUGCCAUCCAUUGGUGCUGUGGAAGAAAGAGAAGAGACUUAGUUGAAAUCCUGGUCCCCUCCUCUUCACAGAAGUACAAUCCUCCUGCCUUCCCUCCUUACCCAGGUCUCCAUUUCCGUGAUCGCCUCGGAGGAGGAGGCCUCCAGAUCUUGCGUUGGAGGACUAGAGAAGAAGGAGAGAAAUCAGCCGAACAUUAGUAUCAGAACCCUGUGAAGCUAUUUAGAAGGGGAAAAAAACAACCAGAAAAGAAGGAGGAAGGGCUUACCUUAUGGGGUGUAUUUUGAUACACCUCCUCCCCGACAUUAUUUCCAAAAAUUUAUACCUAAUUUCCUGAUGUUCUGCAAAGGAGAAAGGAGAACAAGGUCAGAGGGAAGGAGGAAGGGCCUCAUUUGAGAUGGAUUCUUCAUCACUGGGCACCUUGACCAGGGGAGGAAGUGGACACACGAUGGAGACAGCAGUCCCAGGAAGAGGAUGGAUCUGAAAAGGGAGAGUUAAAGAUAAAGGUUUCCCCUGACAUUAAGUCUAGUCAUGUCCGAAUCUGUGGGUUAGAGCUCAUCUCCAUUUCUAAGCCUCAGAGCCGGCAUUGUCCGUAGAUACCUACUAGGCCAUGUGGCCGGCAUGACUCCAUGGAGCGCUGUUACCUUCCUGCCAGAGCGGUACAUAGUGAUCUACUCACAUUUGCAUGUUUUUGAAUUGUUAGGUUGGCAGAAGCUGGGGCUAACAGCGGGAGCUCACCCCACUGCCUGGAUUCAAACCACUGACCUUCUGGUCGGUACGUUCAGCAGCUCAGUGGUUUGAUCCGCUGUGCCACCAGGUGCACCCCUCCCUCUAUUUUCCCAACUCACCUUAGUCUUCUAGAUCUUCAAUAACUAGACUUUGUUCUUCACUAAAAGAUACAAAAAAAAUGUUAGUACAUAACACCCAAAGACCCCUCCAGCCCAAAAAAAGGCCCAACCCACACCCAAAAAGUGAGAAGAAGUUCCCUCGAUUCCUGGGACUGCUGUCCCCAAAGUGCGUCCUCAUCACUUCCACUGGCCAGAGUGCUCUGUCAAGGAAAGAGAAGAGCAAAGUGAAAUCCUGACCUCCCCUUCCCCUUUGCAGGAAGACAGGGCGCCUGCAUUUCUCUACUUACCCAGGACUCAUCGGGUGGAAUGGGGCCCUUCCUCCUCGCAUCCCGGCCAGCAGAUGCCAUCCAUUGGUGCUGUGGAAGAAAGAGAAGAGACUUAGUUGAAAUCCUGGUCCCCUCCUCUUCACAGAAGUACAAUCCUCCUGCCUUCCCUCCUUACCCAGGUCUCCAUUUCCGUGAUUGCCUCAGAGGAGGAGGCCUCCAGAUCUUGCGUUGGAGGACUAGAGAAGAAGGAGAGAAAUCAGCCGAACAUUAGUAUCAGAACCCUGUGAAGCUAUUUAGAAGGGGAAAAAACCAUCCAGAAGAGAAGGAGGAAGGGCUUACCUUACGGGGUAUAUUUUGAUACACCUCCUCCCCGACAACAUUUCCAACAAUUUAUACAUAAUUUCCUGAUGUUCUGCAAAGGAGAACGGAGAACAAGAUCAGUAGGAAGGAGGAAGGGCCUCAUUCGAGAUGGAUUCUUCAUCACUGGGCACCCUGACCAGGGGAGGAGGUGGACACACGAUGGAGACAGCAGUCCCAGGAAGAGGAUGGAUCUGAAAAGGGAGAGUUAAAGAUAAAGGUUUCCCCUGACAUUAAGACUAGUCAUGUCCGAAUCUGUGGGUUAGAGCUCAUCUCCAUUUCUAAGCCUCAGAGCCGGCAUUGUCCGUAGAUACCUACUAGGCCAUGUGGCCAGCAUGACUCCAUGGAGCGCUGUUACCUUCCUGCCAGAGCGGUACAUAGUGAUCUACUCACAUUUGCAUGUUUUUGAAUUGUUAGGUUGGCAGAAGCUGGGGCUAACAGCGGGAGCUCACCCCACUGCCUGGAUUCAAACCACUGACCUUCUGGUCGGUACGUUCAGCAGCUCAGUGGUUUGAUCCGCUGUGCCACCAGGUGCACCCCUCCCUCUAUUUUCCCAACUCACCUUAGUCUUCUAGAUCUUCAAUAACUAGACUUUGUUCUUCACUAAAAGAAACAAAAAAAAUAUGUUAGUACAUAACACCCAAAGACCCCCCUAGCCCAAAAAAAGGCCCAACCCACACCCAAAAAGUGAGAAGAAGUUCCCUCGAUUCCUGGGACUGCUGUCCCCAAAGUGCGUCCUCAUCACUUCCACUGGCCAGAGUGCUCUGUCAAGGAAAGAGAAGAGCAAAGUGAAAUCCUGACCUCCCCUUCCCCUUUGCAGGAAGACAGGGCGCCUGCAUUUCUCUCCUUACCCAGGACUCAUCGGGUGGAAUGGGGCCCUUCCUCCACGCAUCCCAGCUGGGCUGCGGAGCAGAUGCCAUCCAUUGGUGCUGUGGAAGAAAGAGAAGAGACUUAGUUGAAAUCCUGGUCCCCUCCUCUUCACAGAAGUACAAUCCUCCUGCCUUCCCUCCUUACCCAGGUCUCUAUUUCUGUGAUCUCAUCGGAGGAGGAGGCUUCUAGAUCUUCCGUUGGAGGACUAGAGAAGAAGGAGAGAAAACAGCCAAACAUUAGUAUCAGAACCCUGUGCAGCUAUUUAGAAGGGGAAAAAACCAUCCAGAAGAGAAGGAGGAAGGGCUUGCUUUACGGGGUAUAUUUUGAUACACCUCCUCCCCGACAACAUUUCCAACAAUUUAUACAUAAUUUCCUGAUGUUCUGCAAAGGAGAAAGAACAAGGUGAGAGGGAGGAAGAAGGAGUUGCCUUGAGAGAGGGGCUGUUUUAGGGCCAUUACUUUCCUGUGGUAGAUUCAACCCCAAAAGUCUCCAAAUCUGUAUUUCCAUGGGCCCUUCCUCCCCACUCAGUACUUCUUUAAGAGGGGAGAAGAGCAGCAUCCCUGACUUCCCCUCCUGGUGAUCUAAUACAUGACUUCCCUUUUACUACCUACUCCUCUCAUGACAGCAAGUGAAACAAUUUACACAUAAUUUUCUGAUGUUCUGCAAAGGAGAAAGGAGAACAAGGUCAGAGGGAAGGAGGAAGGGCCUCAUUUCAUAUGGAUUCUUCAUCACUGAGCACCCUGACCAGGGGAGGAGGCGGACGCACGAUGGAGACAGCAGUCCCAAGAAGAGGAUGGAUCUGAAAAGGGAUAGUUAAAGAUAAAGGUUUCCCCUGACAUUAAGUCUAGUCAUGUCCGAAUCUGUAGGUUAGUGCUCAUCUCCAUUUCGCUCCUUACCCAGGACUCCUCAGGUGGAAUGGGGCCCUUCCUCCUCGCAUCCCGGCCAGCAGAUGCCAUCCAUUGGUGCUGUGGAAGAAAGAGAAGAGACUUAGUUGAAAUCCUGGUCCCCUACUCUUCACAGAAGUACAAUCCUUCUGCCUUCCCUCCUUACCCAGGUCUCCAUUUCCGUGAUCGCCUCAGAGGAGGAGGCCUCCAGAUCUUGCGUUGGAGGACUAGAGAAGAAGGAGAGAAAUCAGCCGAACAUUAGUAUCAGAACCCUGUGAAGCUAUUUAGAAGGGGAAAAAAACAACCAGAAAAGAAGGAGGAUGGGCUUACCUUAUGGGGUAUAUUUUGAUACACCUCCUCCCCAACAUCAUUUCCAAAAAUUUAUACCUAAUUUCCUGAUGUUCUGCAAAGGAGAAAGGAGAACAAGGUCAGUGGGAAGGAGGAAGGGCCUCAUUCGAGAUGGAUUCUUCAUCACUGGGCACCCUGACCAGGGGAGGAGGUGGACACACGAUGGAGACAGCAGUCCCAGGAAGAGGAUGGAUCUGAAAAGGGAGAGUUAAAGAUAAAGGUUUCCCCUGACAUUAAGUCUAGUCAUGUCCGAAUCUGUGGAUUAGUGCUCAUCUCCAUUUCGCUCCUUACCCAGGACUCAUCAUGUGGAAUAGGGCCCUUCCUCCUCGCAUCCCGGCCAGCAGAUGCCAUCCAUUGGUGCUGUGGAAGAAAGAGAAGAGACUUAGUUGAAAUCCUGGUCCCCUCCUCUUCACAGAAGUACAAUCCUCCUGACUUCCCUCCUUACCCAGGUCUCCAUUUCCGUGAUCGCCUCAGAGGAGGAGGCCUCCAGAUCUUGCGUUGGAGGACUAGAGAAGAAGGAGAGAAAUCAGCCGAACAUUAGUAUCAGAACCCUGUGAAGCUAUUUAGAAGGGGAAAAAAACAACCAGAAAAGAAGGAGGAAGGGCUUACCUUAUGGGGUAUAUUUUGAUACACCUCCUCCCCAACAUCAUUUCCAAAAAUUUAUACCUAAUUUCCUGAUGUUCUGCAAAGGAGAAAGGAGAACAAGGUCAGUGGGAAGGAGGAAGGGCCUCAUUCGAGAUGGAUUCUUCAUCACCGGGCACCCUGACCAGGGGAGGAGGUGGACACACGAUGGAGACAGCAGUCCCAGGAAGAGGAUGGAUCUGAAAAGGGAGAGUUAAAGAUAAAGGUUUCCCCUGACAUUAAGACUAGUCAUGUCCGAAUCUGUGGGUUAGAGCUCAUCUCCAUUUCUAAGCCUCAGAGCUGGCAUUGUCCGUAGAUACCUACUAGGCCAUGUGGCUGGCAUGACUCCAUGUAGCGCUGUUACUUUCCUGCCAGAGCGGUACAUAUUGAUCUACUCACAUUUGCAUGUUUUUGAAUUGUUAGGUUGGCAGAAGCUGGGGCGAACAGCAGGAGCUCACCCCACUGCCUGGAUUCAAACCACUGACCUUCUGGUCGGUACGUUCAGCAGCUCAGUGGUUUGAUCCGCUGUGCCACCAGGUGCACCCCUCCCUCUAUUUUCCCAACUCACCUUAUUCUUCUAGAUCUUCAAUAACUAGACUUUGUUCUUCACUAAAAGAAACAAAAAAAAUAUGUUAGUACAUAACACCCAAAGACCCCCCCUAGCCCAAAAAAAGGCCCAACCCACACCCAAAAAGUGAGAAGAAGUUCCCUCGAUUCCUGGGACUGCUGUCCCCAAAGUGCGUCCUCAUCACUUCCACUGGCCAGAGUGCUCUGUCAAGGAAAGAGAAGAGCAAAGUGAAAUCCUGACCUCCCCUUCCCCUUUGCAGGAAGACAGGGCGCCUGCAUUUCUCUCCUUACCCAGGACUCAUCGGGUGGAAUGGGGCCCUUCCUCCACGCAUCCCAGCUGGGCUGCGGAGCAGAUGCCAUCCAUUGGUGCUGUGGAAGAAAGAGAAGAGAUUUAGUUGAAAUCCUGGUCCCCUCCUCUUCACAGAAGUACAAUCCUCCUGCCUUCCCUCCUUACCCAGGUCUCCAUUUCCGUGAUCACCUCAGAGGAGGAGACCUCCAGAUCUUGCGUUGGAGGACUAGAGAAGAAGGAGAGAAAUCAGCCGAACAUUAGUAUCAGAACCCUGUGAAGCUAUUUAGAAGGGGAAAAAACCAUCCAGAAGAGAAGGAGGAAGGGCUUACCUUACGGGGUAUAUUUUGAUACACCUCCUCCCCGACAACAUUUCCAACAAUUUAUACAUAAUUUCCUGAUGUUCUGCAAAGGAGAACGGAGAACAAGAUCAGUAGGAAGGAGGAAGGGCCUCAUUCGAGAUGGAUUCUUCAUCACUGGGCACCCUGACCAGGGGAGGAGGUGGACACACGAUGGAGACAGCAGUCCCAGGAAGAGGAUGGAUCUGAAAAGGGAGAGUUAAAGAUAAAGGUUUCCCCUGACAUUAAGACUAGUCAUGUCCGAAUCUGUGGGUUAGAGCUCAUCUCCAUUUCUAAGCCUCAGAGCCGGCAUUGUCCGUAGAUACCUACUAGGCCAUGUGGCCAGCAUGACUCCAUGGAGCGCUGUUACCUUCCUGCCAGAGCGGUACAUAGUGAUCUACUCACAUUUGCAUGUUUUUGAAUUGUUAGGUUGGCAGAAGCUGGGGCUAACAGCGGGAGCUCACCCCACUGCCUGGAUUCAAACCACUGACCUUCUGGUCGGUACGUUCAGCAGCUCAGUGGUUUGAUCCGCUGUGCCACCAGGUGCACCCCUCCCUCUAUUUUCCCAACUCACCUUAGUCUUCUAGAUCUUCAAUAACUAGACUUUGUUCUUCACUAAAAGAAACAAAAAAAAUAUGUUAGUACAUAACACCCAAAGACCCCCCUAGCCCAAAAAAAGGCCCAACCCACACCCAAAAAGUGAGAAGAAGUUCCCUCGAUUCCUGGGACUGCUGUCCCCAAAGUGCGUCCUCAUCACUUCCACUGGCCAGAGUGCUCUGUCAAGGAAAGAGAAGAGCAAAGUGAAAUCCUGACCUCCCCUUCCCCUUUGCAGGAAGACAGGGCGCCUGCAUUUCUCUCCUUACCCAGGACUCAUCGGGUGGAAUGGGGCCCUUCCUCCACGCAUCCCCGCUGGGCUGCGGAGCAGAUGCCAUCCAUUGGUGCUGUGGAAGAAAGAGAAGAGACUUAGUUGAAAUCCUGGUCCCCUCCUCUUCACAGAAGUACAAUCCUCCUGCCUUCCCUCCUUACCCAGGUCUCUAUUUCUGUGAUCUCAUCGGAGGAGGAGGCUUCUAGAUCUUCCGUUGGAGGACUAGAGAAGAAGGAGAGAAAACAGCCAAACAUUAGUAUCAGAACCCUGUGCAGCUAUUUAGAAGGGGAAAAAACCAUCCAGAAGAGAAGGAGGAAGGGCUUGCUUUACGGGGUAUAUUUUGAUACACCUCCUCCCCGACAACAUUUCCAACAAUUUAUACAUAAUUUCCUGAUGUUCUGCAAAGGAGAAAGAACAAGGUGAGAGGGAGGAAGAAGGAGUUGCCUUGAGAGAGGGGCUGUUUUAGGGCCAUUACUUUCCUGUGGUAGAUUCAACCCCAAAAGUCUCCAAAUCUGUAUUUCCAUGGGCCCUUCCUCCCCACUCAGUACUUCUUUAAGAGGGGAGAAGAGCAGCAUCCCUGACUUCCCCUCCUGGUGAUCUAAUACAUGACUUCCCUUUUACUACCUACUCCUCUCAUGACAGCAAGUGAAACAAUUUACACAUAAUUUUCUGAUGUUCUGCAAAGGAGAAAGGAGAACAAGGUCAGAGGGAAGGAGGAAGGGCCUCAUUUCAUAUGGAUUCUUCAUCACUGAGCACCCUGACCAGGGGAGGAGGCGGACGCACGAUGGAGACAGCAGUCCCAAGAAGAGGAUGGAUCUGAAAAGGGAUAGUUAAAGAUAAAGGUUUCCCCUGACAUUAAGUCUAGUCAUGUCCGAAUCUGUAGGUUAGUGCUCAUCUCCAUUUCGCUCCUUACCCAGGACUCCUCAGGUGGAAUGGGGCCCUUCCUCCUCGCAUCCCGGCCAGCAGAUGCCAUCCAUUGGUGCUGUGGAAGAAAGAGAAGAGACUUAGUUGAAAUCCUGGUCCCCUACUCUUCACAGAAGUACAAUCCUUCUGCCUUCCCUCCUUACCCAGGUCUCCAUUUCCGUGAUCGCCUCAGAGGAGGAGGCCUCCAGAUCUUGCGUUGGAGGACUAGAGAAGAAGGAGAGAAAUCAGCCGAACAUUAGUAUCAGAACCCUGUGAAGCUAUUUAGAAGGGGAAAAAAACAACCAGAAAAGAAGGAGGAUGGGCUUACCUUAUGGGGUAUAUUUUGAUACACCUCCUCCCCAACAUCAUUUCCAAAAAUUUAUACCUAAUUUCCUGAUGUUCUGCAAAGGAGAAAGGAGAACAAGGUCAGUGGGAAGGAGGAAGGGCCUCAUUCGAGAUGGAUUCUUCAUCACUGGGCACCCUGACCAGGGGAGGAGGUGGACACAUGAUGGAGACAGCAGUCCCAGGAAGAGGAUGGAUCUGAAAAGGGAGAGUUAAAGAUAAAGGUUUCCCCUGACAUUAAGUCUAGUCAUGUCCGAAUCUGUGGAUUAGUGCUCAUCCCCAUUUCGCUCCUUACCCAGGACUCAUCAUGUGGAAUAGGGCCCUUCCUCCUCGCAUCCCGGCCAGCAGAUGCCAUCCAUUGGUGCUGUGGAAGAAAGAGAAGAGACUUAGUUGAAAUCCUGGUCCCCUCCUCUUCACAGAAGUACAAUCCUCCUGACUUCCCUCCUUACCCAGGUCUCCAUUUCCGUGAUCGCCUCAGAGGAGGAGGCCUCCAGAUCUUGCGUUGGAGGACUAGAGAAGAAGGAGAGAAAUCAGCCGAACAUUAGUAUCAGAACCCUGUGAAGCUAUUUAGAAGGGGAAAAAAACAACCAGAAAAGAAGGAGGAAGGGCUUACCUUAUGGGGUAUAUUUUGAUACACCUCCUCCCCAACAUCAUUUCCAAAAAUUUAUACCUAAUUUCCUGAUGUUCUGCAAAGGAGAAAGGAGAACAAGGUCAGUGGGAAGGAGGAAGGGCCUCAUUCGAGAUGGAUUCUUCAUCACCGGGCACCCUGACCAGGGGAGGAGGUGGACACACGAUGGAGACAGCAGUCCCAGGAAGAGGAUGGAUCUGAAAAGGGAGAGUUAAAGAUAAAGGUUUCCCCUGACAUUAAGACUAGUCAUGUCCGAAUCUGUGGGUUAGAGCUCAUCUCCAUUUCUAAGCCUCAGAGCUGGCAUUGUCCGUAGAUACCUACUAGGCCAUGUGGCUGGCAUGACUCCAUGUAGCGCUGUUACUUUCCUGCCAGAGCGGUACAUAUUGAUCUACUCACAUUUGCAUGUUUUUGAAUUGUUAGGUUGGCAGAAGCUGGGGCGAACAGCAGGAGCUCACCCCACUGCCUGGAUUCAAACCACUGACCUUCUGGUCGGUACGUUCAGCAGCUCAGUGGUUUGAUCCGCUGUGCCACCAGGUGCACCCCUCCCUCUAUUUUCCCAACUCACCUUAUUCUUCUAGAUCUUCAAUAACUAGACUUUGUUCUUCACUAAAAGAAACAAAAAAAAUAUGUUAGUACAUAACACCCAAAGACCCCCCCUAGCCCAAAAAAAGGCCCAACCCACACCCAAAAAGUGAGAAGAAGUUCCCUCGAUUCCUGGGACUGCUGUCCCCAAAGUGCGUCCUCAUCACUUCCACUGGCCAGAGUGCUCUGUCAAGGAAAGAGAAGAGCAAAGUGAAAUCCUGACCUCCCCUUCCCCUUUGCAGGAAGACAGGGCGCCUGCAUUUCUCUACUUACCCAGGACUCAUCGGGUGGAAUGGGGCCCUUCCUCCUCGCAUCCCGGCCAGCAGAUGCCAUCCAUUGGUGCUGUGGAAGAAAGAGAAGAGACUUAGUUGAAAUCCUGGUCCCCUCCUCUUCACAGAAGUACAAUCCUCCUGCCUUCCCUCCUUACCCAGGUCUCCAUUUCCGUGAUCUCAUCGGAGGAGGAGGCUUCUAGAUCUUCCGUUGGAGGACUAGAGAAGAAGGAGAGAAAACAGCCAAACAUUAGUAUCAGAACCCUGUGCAGCUAUUUAGAAGGGGAAAAAACCAUCCAGAAGAGAAGGAGGAAGGGCUUACCUUACGGGGUAUAUUUUGAUACACCUCCUCCCCGACAACAUUUCCAACAAUUUAUACAUAAUUUCCUGAUGUUCUGCAAAGGAGAAAGGAGAACAAGGUCAGAGGGAAGGAGGAAGGGCUUCAUUUGAGAUGGAUUCUUCAUCACUGGGCACCCUGACCAGGGGAGGAGGUGGACGCACGAUGGAGACAGCAGUCCCAGGAAGAGAAUGGAUCUGAAAAGGGAGAGUUAAAGAUAAAGGUUUCCCCUGACAUUAAGUCUAGUCAUGUCCGAAUCUGUGGGUUAGAGCUCAUCUCCAUUUCUAAGCCUCAGAGCCGGCAUUGUCCGUAGAUACCUACUAGGCCAUGUGGCCGGCAUGACUCCAUGGAGCGCUGUUACCUUCCUGCCAGAGCGGUACAUAGUGAUCUACUCACAUUUGCAUGUUUUUGAAUUGUUAGGUUGGCAGAAGCUGGGGCUAACAGCGGGAGCUCACCCCACUGCCUGGAUUCAAACCACUGACCUUCUGGUCGGUACGUUCAGCAGCUCAGUGGUUUGAUCCGCUGUGCCACCAGGUGCACCCCUCCCUCUAUUUUCCCAACUCACCUUAGUCUUCUAGAUCUUCAAUAACUAGACUUUGUUCUUCACUAAAAGAAACAAAAAAAAUAUGUUAGUACAUAACACCCAAAGACCCCCCUAGCCCAAAAAAAGGCCCAACCCACACCCAAAAAGUGAGAAGAAGUUCCCUCGAUUCCUGGGACUGCUGUCCCCAAAGUGCGUCCUCAUCACUUCCACUGGCCAGAGUGCUCUGUCAAGGAAAGAGAAGAGCGAAGUGAAAUCCUGACCUCCCCUUCCCCUUUGCAGGAAGACAGGGCGCCUGCAUUUCUCUCCUUACCCAGGACUCAUCGGGUGGAAUGGGGCCCUUCCUCCACGCAUCCCAGCUGGGCUGCGGAGCAGAUGCCAUCCAUUGGUGCUGUGGAAGAAAGAGAAGAGACUUAGUUGAAAUCCUGGUCCCCUCCUCUUCACAGAAGUACAAUCCUCCUGCCUUCCCUCCUUACCCAGGUCUCUAUUUCUGUGAUCUCAUCGGAGGAGGAGGCUUCUAGAUCUUCCGUUGGAGGACUAGAGAAGAAGGAGAGAAAACAGCCAAACAUUAGUAUCAGAACCCUGUGCAGCUAUUUAGAAGGGGAAAAAACCAUCCAGAAGAGAAGGAGGAAGGGCUUGCUUUACGGGGUAUAUUUUGAUACACCUCCUCCCCGACAACAUUUCCAACAAUUUAUACAUAAUUUCCUGAUGUUCUGCAAAGGAGAAAGAACAAGGUGAGAGGGAGGAAGAAGGAGUUGCCUUGAGAGAGGGGCUGUUUUAGGGCCAUUACUUUCCUGUGGUAGAUUCAACCCCAAAAGUCUCCAAAUCUGUAUUUCCAUGGGCCCUUCCUCCCCACUCAGUACUUCUUUAAGAGGGGAGAAGAGCAGCAUCCCUGACUUCCCCUCCUGGUGAUCUAAUACAUGACUUCCCUUUUACUACCUACUCCUCUCAUGACAGCAAGUGAAACAAUUUACACAUAAUUUUCUGAUGUUCUGCAAAGGAGAAAGGAGAACAAGGUCAGAGGGAAGGAGGAAGGGCCUCAUUUCAUAUGGAUUCUUCAUCACUGAGCACCCUGACCAGGGGAGGAGGCGGAUGCACGAUGGAGACAGCAGUCCCAAGAAGAGGAUGGAUCUGAAAAGGGAUAGUUAAAGAUAAAGGUUUCCCCUGACAUUAAGUCUAGUCAUGUCCGAAUCUGUAGGUUAGUGCUCAUCUCCAUUUCGCUCCUUACCCAGGACUCCUCAGGUGGAAUGGGGCCCUUCCUCCUCGCAUCCCGGCCAGCAGAUGCCAUCCAUUGGUGCUGUGGAAGAAAGAGAAGAGACUUAGUUGAAAUCCUGGUCCCCUACUCUUCACAGAAGUACAAUCCUUCUGCCUUCCCUCCUUACCCAGGUCUCCAUUUCCGUGAUCGCCUCAGAGGAGGAGGCCUCCAGAUCUUGCGUUGGAGGACUAGAGAAGAAGGAGAGAAAUCAGCCGAACAUUAGUAUCAGAACCCUGUGAAGCUAUUUAGAAGGGGAAAAAAACAACCAGAAAAGAAGGAGGAUGGGCUUACCUUAUGGGGUAUAUUUUGAUACACCUCCUCCCCAACAUCAUUUCCAAAAAUUUAUACCUAAUUUCCUGAUGUUCUGCAAAGGAGAAAGGAGAACAAGGUCAGUGGGAAGGAGGAAGGGCCUCAUUCGAGAUGGAUUCUUCAUCACUGGGCACCCUGACCAGGGGAGGAGGUGGACACACGAUGGAGACAGCAGUCCCAGGAAGAGGAUGGAUCUGAAAAGGGAGAGUUAAAGAUAAAGGUUUCCCCUGACAUUAAGUCUAGUCAUGUCCGAAUCUGUGGAUUAGUGCUCAUCUCCAUUUCGCUCCUUACCCAGGACUCAUCAUGUGGAAUAGGGCCCUUCCUCCUCGCAUCCCGGCCAGCAGAUGCCAUCCAUUGGUGCUGUGGAAGAAAGAGAAGAGACUUAGUUGAAAUCCUGGUCCCCUCCUCUUCACAGAAGUACAAUCCUCCUGACUUCCCUCCUUACCCAGGUCUCCAUUUCCGUGAUCGCCUCAGAGGAGGAGGCCUCCAGAUCUUGCGUUGGAGGACUAGAGAAGAAGGAGAGAAAUCAGCCGAACAUUAGUAUCAGAACCCUGUGAAGCUAUUUAGAAGGGGAAAAAAACAACCAGAAAAGAAGGAGGAAGGGCUUACCUUAUGGGGUAUAUUUUGAUACACCUCCUCCCCAACAUCAUUUCCAAAAAUUUAUACCUAAUUUCCUGAUGUUCUGCAAAGGAGAAAGGAGAACAAGGUCAGUGGGAAGGAGGAAGGGCCUCAUUCGAGAUGGAUUCUUCAUCACCGGGCACCCUGACCAGGGGAGGAGGUGGACACACGAUGGAGACAGCAGUCCCAGGAAGAGGAUGGAUCUGAAAAGGGAGAGUUAAAGAUAAAGGUUUCCCCUGACAUUAAGACUAGUCAUGUCCGAAUCUGUGGGUUAGAGCUCAUCUCCAUUUCUAAGCCUCAGAGCUGGCAUUGUCCGUAGAUACCUACUAGGCCAUGUGGCUGGCAUGACUCCAUGUAGCGCUGUUACUUUCCUGCCAGAGCGGUACAUAUUGAUCUACUCACAUUUGCAUGUUUUUGAAUUGUUAGGUUGGCAGAAGCUGGGGCGAACAGCAGGAGCUCACCCCACUGCCUGGAUUCAAACCACUGACCUUCUGGUCGGUACGUUCAGCAGCUCAGUGGUUUGAUCCGCUGUGCCACCAGGUGCACCCCUCCCUCUAUUUUCCCAACUCACCUUAUUCUUCUAGAUCUUCAAUAACUAGACUUUGUUCUUCACUAAAAGAAACAAAAAAAAUAUGUUAGUACAUAACACCCAAAGACCCCCCCUAGCCCAAAAAAAGGCCCAACCCACACCCAAAAAGUGAGAAGAAGUUCCCUCGAUUCCUGGGACUGCUGUCCCCAAAGUGCGUCCUCAUCACUUCCACUGGCCAGAGUGCUCUGUCAAGGAAAGAGAAGAGCAAAGUGAAAUCCUGACCUCCCCUUCCCCUUUGCAGGAAGACAGGGCGCCUGCAUUUCUCUACUUACCCAGGACUCAUCGGGUGGAAUGGGGCCCUUCCUCCUCGCAUCCCGGCCAGCAGAUGCCAUCCAUUGGUGCUGUGGAAGAAAGAGAAGAGACUUAGUUGAAAUCCUGGUCCCCUCCUCUUCACAGAAGUACAAUCCUCCUGCCUUCCCUCCUUACCCAGGUCUCCAUUUCCGUGAUCUCAUCGGAGGAGGAGGCUUCUAGAUCUUCCGUUGGAGGACUAGAGAAGAAGGAGAGAAAACAGCCAAACAUUAGUAUCAGAACCCUGUGCAGCUAUUUAGAAGGGGAAAAAACCAUCCAGAAGAGAAGGAGGAAGGGCUUACCUUACGGGGUAUAUUUUGAUACACCUCCUCCCCGACAACAUUUCCAACAAUUUAUACAUAAUUUCCUGAUGUUCUGCAAAGGAGAAAGGAGAACAAGGUCAGAGGGAAGGAGGAAGGGCUUCAUUUGAGAUGGAUUCUUCAUCACUGGGCACCCUGACCAGGGGAGGAGGUGGACGCACGAUGGAGACAGCAGUCCCAGGAAGAGAAUGGAUCUGAAAAGGGAGAGUUAAAGAUAAAGGUUUCCCCUGACAUUAAGUCUAGUCAUGUCCGAAUCUGUGGGUUAGAGCUCAUCUCCAUUUCUAAGCCUCAGAGCCGGCAUUGUCCGUAGAUACCUACUAGGCCAUGUGGCCGGCAUGACUCCAUGGAGCGCUGUUACCUUCCUGCCAGAGCGGUACAUAGUGAUCUACUCACAUUUGCAUGUUUUUGAAUUGUUAGGUUGGCAGAAGCUGGGGCUAACAGCGGGAGCUCACCCCACUGCCUGGAUUCAAACCACUGACCUUCUGGUCGGUACGUUCAGCAGCUCAGUGGUUUGAUCCGCUGUGCCACCAGGUGCACCCCUCCCUCUAUUUUCCCAACUCACCUUAGUCUUCUAGAUCUUCAAUAACUAGACUUUGUUCUUCACUAAAAGAAACAAAAAAAAAUGUUAGUACAUAACACCCAAAGACCCCUCCAGCCCAAAAAAAGGCCCAACCCACACCCAAAAAGUGAGAAGAAGUUCCCUCGAUUCCUGGGACUGCUGUCCCCAAAGUGCGUCCUCAUCACUUCCACUGGCCAGAGUGCUCUGUCAAGGAAAGAGAAGAGCAAAGUGAAAUCCUGACCUCCCCUUCCCCUUUGCAGGAAGACAGGGCGCCUGCAUUUCUCUCCUUACCCAGGACUCAUCGGGUGGAAUGGGGCCCUUCCUCCUCGCAUCCCGGCCAGCAGAUGCCAUCCAUUGGUGCUGUGGAAGAAAGAGAAGAGACUUAGUUGAAAUCCUGGUCCCCUCCUCUUCACAGAAGUACAAUCCUCCUGCCUUCCCUCCUUACCCAGGUCUCCAUUUCCGUGAUCGCCUCGGAGGAGGAGGCCUCCAGAUCUUGCGUUGGAGGACUAGAGAAGAAGGAGAGAAAUCAGCCGAACAUUAGUAUCAGAACCCUGUGAAGCUAUUUAGAAGGGGAAAAAACCAUCCAGAAGAGAAGGAGGAAGGGCUUACCUUACGGGGUAUAUUUUGAUACACCUCCUCCCCGACAACAUUUCCAACAAUUUAUACAUAAUUUCCUGAUGUUCUGCAAAGGAGAAAGGAGAACAAGGUCAGUAGGAAGGAGGAAGGGCCUCAUUCGAGAUGGAUUCUUCAUCACUGGGCACCCUGACCAGGGGAGGAGGUGGACACACGAUGGAGACAGCAGUCCCAGGAAGAGGAUGGAUCUGAAAAGGGAGAGUUAAAGAUAAAGGUUUCCCCUGACAUUAAGUCUAGUCAUGUCCGAAUCUGUGGAUUAGUGCUCAUCUCCAUUUCGCUCCUUACCCAGGACUCAUCAUGUGGAAUAGGGCCCUUCCUCCUCGCAUCCCGGCCAGCAGAUGCCAUCCAUUGGUGCUGUGGAAGAAAGAGAAGAGACUUAGUUGAAAUCCUGGUCCCCUCCUCUUCACAGAAGUACAAUCCUCCUGCCUUCCCUCCUUACCCAGGUCUCCAUUUCCAUGAUCGCCUCAGAGGAGGAGGCCUCCAGAUCUUGCGUUGGAGGACUAGAGAAGAAGGAGAGAAAUCAGCCGAACAUUAGUAUCAGAACCCUGUGAAGCUAUUUAGAAGGGGAAAAAAACAACCAGAAAAGAAGGAGGAAGGGCUUACCUUAUAGGGUAUAUUUUGAUACACCUCCUCCCCAACAUCAUUUCCAAAAAUUUAUACCUAAUUUCCUGAUGUUCUGCAAAGGAGAAAGGAGAACAAGGUCAGUGGGAAGGAGGAAGGGCCUCAUUCGAGAUGGAUUCUUCAUCACUGGGCACCCUGACCAGGGGAGGAGGUGGACACACGAUGGAGACAGCAGUCCCAGGAAGAGGAUGGAUAUGAAAAGGGAGAGUUAAAGAUAAAGGUUUCCCCUGACAUUAAGUCUAGUCAUGUCCGAAUCUGUGGAUUAGUGCUCAUCUCCAUUUCGCUCCUUACCCAGGACUCAUCAUGUGGAAUAGGGCCCUUCCUCCUCGCAUCCCGGCCAGCAGAUGCCAUCCAUUGGUGCUGUGGAAGAAAGAGAAGAGACUUAGUUGAAAUCCUGGUCCCCUCCUCUUCACAGAAGUACAAUCCUGCCUUCCCUCCUUACCCAGGUCUCCAUUUCUGUGAUCGCCUCGGAGGAGGAGGCCUCCAGAUCUUGCGUUGCAGGACUAGAGAAGAAGGAGAGAAAUCAGCCGAACAUUAGUAUCAGAACCCUGUGAAGCUAUUUAGAAGGGGAAAAAAACAACCAGAAAAGAAGGAGGAAGGGCUUACCUUAUGGGGUGUAUUUUGAUACACCUCCUCCCCGACAUUAUUUCCAAAAAUUUAUACCUAAUUUCCUGAUGUUCUGCAAAGGAGAAAGGAGAACAAGGUCAGAGGGAAGGAGGAAGGGCCUCAUUUGAGAUGGAUUCUUCAUCACUGGGCACCUUGACCAGGGGAGGAAGUGGACACACGAUGGAGACUGCAGUCCCAGGAAGAGGAUGGAUCUGAAAAGGGAGAGUUAAAGAUAAAGGUUUCCCCUGACAUUAA
Anolis carolinensis (green anole) is the source of this 43172-nucleotide long non-coding RNA. RefSeq lists it as uncharacterized. NCBI's taxonomy places the organism in Eukaryota, Metazoa, Chordata, Lepidosauria, Squamata, Anolidae. The transcript has 5 exons. The record is from RefSeq and is a predicted model, not a curated record.